UGAAGAAGAUGAGGCUUGGAUUUCGCAAAUUAGGAGAAGGUUUCCCACGUUAGAAUCCUAUCAUGUGACCUAUGACACUAAGGUGAACCAAGCAAACAAUCUCAUAGAGGGAGGGAGAGGACCUGAGUGCAUAGCAAUUAGUGAUCCUAAGUACUCUAUGUGCCUACUAGCCUUGAAAGGCUUGCCAAGUGAAGUUUGUAACAUAAAGUGGGAUUUGAUCAUGGUUGAUGCACCUACAGGAUACGAUGAAGAGGCCAUAGGAAGAAUGACUGCUAUAAAUACUGCAGGAAUGAUGACUAGGAACAGGCCACAGGAAAAGACUGAAGCGUUUGUGCAUGAUGUGAAUAGAGA
This 351-nucleotide unclassified non-coding RNA is filed under the name Hevea brasiliensis (rubber tree). Lineage: Eukaryota; Viridiplantae; Streptophyta; Magnoliopsida; Malpighiales; Euphorbiaceae. The record is from RNAcentral.